GGCGGCUCAGCGGUGUUAGGGCCAAUAAGUGUCCGUUUUCAGUUCCAUAGUUUGGGCACUGAACACCGCUGGCUGUUCGGGAGGUAAAAUGGCCGCUGCCACGCGUUCGGAAGACGAACAAAGGCCACCCAGCGUUCAUCGAUUAAGCUGCGGUUAACCACAGCUUCUGGGCGGUCAAUUGACGGCACACUCCAGUUCCCAGGUGGUCCAUUGCUCGGUAGUUUGUUCGGUAGAUUGAAU
Molecule: long non-coding RNA, 240 nt
Filed under: Pelobates cultripes (western spadefoot toad)
Lineage: Eukaryota; Metazoa; Chordata; Amphibia; Anura; Pelobatidae
Source: RNAcentral